GGAGGCGUGGCCGAGCGGCUUAAGGUAUUGGUUUGCUAAAUCAACGUACAAUGUUCUUUGUACCAAGGGUUCGAAUCCCUUCGCCUCC
This 88-nucleotide transfer RNA is filed under the name Trebouxiophyceae sp. MX-AZ01. RNAcentral's name for it is "tRNA-Ser". It matches the Rfam family "tRNA". Rfam says of the family: Transfer RNA (tRNA) molecules are approximately 80 nucleotides in length. Their secondary structure includes four short double-helical elements and three loops (D, anti-codon, and T loops). Lineage: Eukaryota; Viridiplantae; Chlorophyta; Trebouxiophyceae. The record is from RNAcentral.